Molecule: long non-coding RNA, 3008 nt
Filed under: Lepisosteus oculatus (spotted gar)
Lineage: Eukaryota; Metazoa; Chordata; Actinopteri; Semionotiformes; Lepisosteidae
Description: lncRNA (ENSLOCG00000022477.1)
Source: RNAcentral
CGCGAGCGGUCGCCUGGGCGACGAGGAGCAGAAACUCCUGAAAUCAGUGGAAAUGAAAAUUAUAUCAAUUCGUUUUAACUUUCAGCCGGUGAAACUGAUCGGUUCUCAUUCCCCCCGCCUCGGGUGUGAGUGCUGAUGGGGUGUCCCGGGACUGAGGGGUCCCUGAGCGAAAUGGGUCUUCUUGCGCCUCAGAAUUUGACCAUCUUGGCUCCCCGGCUGGGUCUUGCAAGGCGAAGAUCAUUCAGAGAAGCGAAUCUGAACUGUGCGCUGUUGAAUUAGCAACUAGUCCAUGACUUUCUUUGCUGAACAUCACAAGAAGGGAAAACAAUCCUUCAGAACGUUUUAGAACAGAACUCAUGAACUUGUCAGUGAUAAGCGCGGUGUUUAUCGCUAUUAUUGUCGUGAUAUCGGGUGAUGACGACGGCGGUGUCUGUUUACUCGCUGGCUAUUUCCAGCAGCUAUGACACGUUUGAACACACCCGGAUCGUCCCGGCCACCCGUCUGCCCCACAAGCCCUAGAGCUGCGUGUCGGCGGCGGAAGAGUUAAAAAAAAAACCCGUCCGAGUGAGAAGCAACACAGAGCAGAGCAAGUGCCAUCUUCUAGGGGAGGGAGAGAGAGAGAGAGAGAGGAGGGGGAGGGAGAAGGGAGGGAGAUAGGGUGCACGCUGCCGCCGGCUUCUUAAUUUGGAGCGAAGACAACCUGACCCGUCUGUCUCCGGAGCAGCCGCGGAAGCAGAGCGCACAACGAGCCGGCCCCGCUUCCUCUGGCAUCGCGUGAGAGCACCCGACAGCGGCUGGGGGGCCCCUGGACAGUACAGCCCUGCGGACGAUGGGGCGCAGGGGUCUGCAGCGCCAGUAGCUGAACUUCCCCCCCCAACACACACACACACGUCUCUGGCGCCGCGCACGGGGCCGCGGGCGCGUGUCGGCUCCCAGCCCAGCAAGGGUGAACCGUCACACAGCGCGAGCCGAGACCUGUUUCUUCAUUUCUCGACCCUUGGACAGAGGAUGACUUUGGCUUUUGUGAUGUAAGAGGACACUUGAUUGAAAACGACACACAGUUCCAGGUAAGCAUGCCAGGGCCUGGAUUAAAAACGAAGUGAUGUCGUGCUCCUAAAACUUUGACCCUGUUGACGGAGCGACCACUCAGGGCUCCAGAUCCCAGGACUGUGAUGGGAUUCUUGCAGGUUCCGCGUGGUGCAUGCUGACAGGCAGGAGAUUAACAUGCAGAUGAGGACUAAACUGAGGGCUUGUGCUGUGCAGGAAAUACAGCAGAAAGUUUCUAGGAUUUAAAAAAUCGGAGAAUUGGGCAAAAGUGAUAGCUUAAUAUGGAUGACAGUACAAGUUUAAUACAGAUACUGUACAGUUUUCAAAACUGCUUUUUGGAGCUACAAGCUGUAGCUGUGUAGUAGCUGUCCCUGGGCAGGUGGGAGAUAUAAACUAAACCGAGAUGGCACAGUAUACCCACUACACAGACAGAUACAGGUAGAUACGUAAUAAUGAACUGGACAGAAAGUAUUUUAAAAAUAAAGUUGGUAAAGCAGAUUUCAAGAUAAAACUUUUGCCUUUGCUUUCAGCAGACUCUUCAUUUAGAAAAAUGCAGUUCUAAUCAUGAGAAGAUAUUUCCAAAACCCUGUACCCUGAACCGAGAUUGCGACUUAAUAUUUUUCUAUAUGUGAGAUAUGGUGUUUGUUCCUGUUUUUUUUGUUGGGUGUGAAAACAUGAGUAUUGAUGAACUCGUAUCUUUAAGAUUUAAAGCCACAAAAACUCAAACAUUAGCUAGAAGAAACCAGUAGAGGAUUUGUGUUAUCUGGUACUUCUUUGUAAAUUUGUAGAAGAUUGACAUAUAAGGCCAAGAGCUUGCAGCAGCAGACCUGCUAGAAAAUAAACAGACUCUGUAGUGGCAUGCAGACACACACACAGUCCCACAUAUCGAGCUCUGCCAGAAACAGAGAAGCCUGUUCACCGGGACACACUCCCCCAGUCUGCAGCUUUUGAGAAAUAUCACAAUCACUCCUGGCCACACACACAGCUGUGAAGAAACUGUGAUAUUUCUAGUUGAUCCCAUUGUGGGGGGGUUUGGAGGGAGGAGUGGAGGGCACAGCUACUUUGUGUAUUGUUGGCAAGAAACCUCCUAAACCCAUGGUUGUGAUCAUGAUGCUCAGCAGCAUGUUCUUUAUAUGAGCAGCAAAUGCAACAAACCCCAAGCAGAACGGAGCAGACCCCAACACACCCGCGGUGACUCUGUAAGAUGUCUAAAGCAGCCCUCAGCUGCACUUCCUGACCUUUUUUUUGCCAGCAAAUGGCACAACUGGGAUUAAAGUCUCAACACACUUCUUCCUGUUACGCAGUUUCUCGCUUGCUCUGCAUCCUGUUGGAUGACACUCUUCUUUAACCAUUCCCUUGUUGCUGCCAGUGACGUUACUCUUGUUCUUUCUAACGAGCUGCUCGCUCUUGGCUACAGCAGCCCUGCCGGAUCAGACGACCUUUCCUUGGCCUCGGCCGACGGCCUAUGGAGGACCUUCUCGAGAUAGAGAUUUGCGCGAGUCGGCGCGGCUUCAGGGUGGGUUUUGAAUCCGAACCUGGCAGCCUGGCCAGGCUCCCGGGAAAUCUGAAGAAAUUAUGAUUGGGGAAUUUGGCAUUCUGAACGAACGUUUCAGAAGAAAUAGCCUACGGAAGUUAUUUGGUGGCUUAUCUGUCACAGCCAGUCAGGAGCUAUUUAAGCACUGCUUAAUAAACUGGGAAACAGAAAACAAAGUUCACAGGUGGCAACUAGAGGUAAGAACGUUUAAAACUUGAGAACAAGAGGCAUUUCUUUACCCAAAGGGUUGUGGGAGAAUGGAACAGGAUACACAGUCAUGUUGUAGCAGUCAGUUCCCUGGCUUCAUUCAAGAAAGAUGAGAUCCUCAAAACAAUUAGCUACUAUUAGCCUUGUUUCAUUCGUGAGCUUUCUAGCGUUUUUUACCAGGGUAUUCUUGCAGUAAUACUUAAGAAAUGAGGGAUUUUUA